Molecule: ribosomal RNA, 634 nt
Filed under: uncultured bacterium
Lineage: Bacteria
Description: bacterial SSU rRNA
Rfam family: Bacterial small subunit ribosomal RNA
Source: RNAcentral
GACGAACGCUGGCGGCGCGCCUAACACAUGCAAGUCGAACGAGCGAGAGAGAGCUUGCUUUCUCAAGCGAGUGGCGAACGGGUGAGUAACGCGUGAGGAACCUGCCUCAAAGAGGGGGACAACAGUUGGAAACGACUGCUAAUACCGCAUAAGCCCACAGCUCGGCAUCGAGCAGAGGGAAAAGGAGUGAUCCGCUUUGAGAUGGCCUCGCGUCCGAUUAGCUGGUUGGUGAGGUAACGGCCCACCAAGGCGACGAUCGGUAGCCGGACUGAGAGGUUGAACGGCCACAUUGGGACUGAGACACGGCCCAGACUCCUACGGGAGGCAGCAGUGGGGAAUAUUGCACAAUGGGGGAAACCCUGAUGCAGCGACGCCGCGUGGAGGAAGAAGGUCUUCGGAUUGUAAACUCCUGUUGUUGAGGAAGAUAAUGACGGUACUCAACAAGGAAGUGACGGCUAACCACGUGCCAGCAGCCGCGGUAAAACGUAGGUCACAAGCGUUGUCCGGAAUUACUGGGUGUAAAGGGAGCGCAGGCGGGAAAGCAAGUUGGAAGUGAAAUCCAUGGGCUCAACCCAUGAACUGCUUUCAAAACUGUUUUUCUUGAGUAGUGCAGAGGUAGGCGGAAUUCCCGGUG